Molecule: transfer RNA, 71 nt
Filed under: Loxodonta africana (African savanna elephant)
Lineage: Eukaryota; Metazoa; Chordata; Mammalia; Proboscidea; Elephantidae
Rfam family: tRNA
About the family: Transfer RNA (tRNA) molecules are approximately 80 nucleotides in length.
Source: Rfam by way of RNAcentral
ACAUUGGUUGUUCCGUGGUAGAAUUCUUGCCUCCCAUGCAAGAGACCCGGUUUCAAACCCUGACCAGUGCA